Non-coding RNA from Miniopterus natalensis, 4092 nucleotides. The record is from RefSeq and is a predicted model, not a curated record. Lineage: Eukaryota; Metazoa; Chordata; Mammalia; Chiroptera; Miniopteridae.
UCUGUUCUCAAUAAGCCGGACACUGGGCAUUUCCAAAAGUUUUAAUCAGAUGGAUCUACCUUAAGGCUCUGGUAUCUUGAGAAUUAAACCACUGACUACAUGUUAUCCCCUGACCAAGGAUCCUGCUUCUGCCUGUUCAAGGCACUUGCUGGGGGCCCAGAGCGCAGGCCUUCCUUCUGCUUGUCCACGUUUGGAGAAUUGUUUGGCCUCUCUAAGCUAAACAUGGGGAUAAUUAGCCCAGGAUUCAGAGUACACACAUUCGGGAUUACUCUCCUGGGAAUGGGACCCGUGUUCUGGUGUAAGCCUUCUGUUUCCUGAGCUGUGUGAUGUUCAGCAAGUUGCUUAACCUUGGAGAAACAAAGGGAUUCAUCUGACUCAACUGGAGGUGGCUCCCUUCCCUAAUUUACUGCUCCAUUCCUAAGGCUGACACCCUCCUGGGCUCAGUGUGAGCACAGGAGGAGGCAACCACCACGGAGAUUCAAGUUCCCAGGCACGGAGCUGCCCCUCCACUGGACCCCAAGGCAAAGAAAAAUCCCAGCCUCUUUCUCGUGGUCAUCUGGUUUUGUUGAACCUGGAAAGGAAGUAAAUUCCAAAGGCAGGAAAUGACCCAGAGGCCAUAACAACAUGUGAAAAGCCAAGACUGGUGCUUCCGUCACUUUGUUUCAAACUAUUCUAAUCUGCGUCCCAUCCCCGGGAAGCCUAACCCAUUACCAGAUGGAGAUCUGUUUUCAGAUGCCUCUUGGCAUCUGCCACUCCCGGCUGGUGACAUUUGCACGUUUCAGAAGGCAAACCUGUGCCGACAUCUUCAAACUUCCGGAGAGGUGCAGCCCCAGGAAAGUCCUUGGGUCUCUGGCUGACAGCACCAACCAUCUGACGCGCUUCUUCGGCUGCUGGCCUCCAGCCUGGAACACUAGCACGCUGUGUCUGUUCUUGAAGAUUUGCAGAAUCUGAAGUCAGAAUGCCCCAUAUUGCCAGAAAAGGCUGGCUCCCUUGCCUGCCGCCAGGCUUUCCUAAAGGAACCCAGUGAGUCAGGAAGAAAACGUGUCUGAGGGAGAUCUGGGGGAGGCCUGGUUCCUCUUCUGGCUUCUGAAAAUUUCCUCCUGUUUUACAACGCUGGUAACGGUUAGGGACUCGGUUGUACUUUUUCCCUGUUUCCUCCUCUAUCGGCUCUCACUUGGAGAGACCUCUCAUGUACCAUUCAUUAAAUUAGCUCUGCAAAAGCAGGAGGCCCUCUGAAGAGGAAUUAGUCACUGCUGCAAAAAAGUUGUGACUUCAUUUCUAUCCCCAGGAGCAAGGCAAGAAAAAACUCCCACCUCUUCCCUCAGAAGGAACCAUCAUUCAGCUUUGUUCUGGCCCAGGGGCUUGUACUUUUCCUAGGCUUUUAAUUUUUCCUGAACACCGAACGUCAGCCUUCCCCCUGAAGGCUGUGUGCCAGCUGGAUUCCAAAUACAGCCAGGUGGCUGCUGGGGUACCUGCUCCAAACAGGUAUCCAGUUAAUUCUCCCGCCCCCAUCGUCAGAAAGCAGAAAGUAGCUAUACGGGGAUGAGUAAUGUGCCUAACUCUUUCAGCACUUUCAAAUGUUAAACGGAUUAAAGUAUAAAGAAUCCAGUAUAUCUGUUGACGUCUGGUUGACAGAAAAGCUCCAGCAAGGAAGAAGUGGGAAGUUCCACAUCAGGCCGGGGAAACGGGAACGCAGUGGAGGGCACUGCUCUCCCGGGCCAGCCCUGGCACCAGAUUCCCAUCCCUGAGUGCAAAGCCGCUCUGCGCCACUGUCUAAAAUUGUGUUCAUUAGGAAAGAGAGUUUAAAGAGUAUGUUCUGAUAAGCUUGGGUUUACCCAUGGAAAGGGAAUGUCGUCUCCAUGGUCAGACAGCACGUUAAUAUCUGAGGCAGGUUGUAUCAACUGUGUGUAGCUGGUAGUAAAAAGAAGAUAAAAGAAGCUAAGAGAUCUUCAUAAAAAGGGAGGGGGGAGAGAGAGACUGAGACUUCUUUGUUGUUGCUGGGAAGAGACAAUCUUGCAGAAGAUAUGAGACAUAAGAGCCUCUCGCUCUCCUUUGCUCUGCCUAUAAAAAAUGAGCCGGAAGAGAAGCUAGAAACAGGAGACAGGGAGCCAUCUUUCCAACUGUUGGCACCAGCCAAACAGGAUAAAUAGUUCAUAUUCUGAUGAUGAUGACAACAGUAAUAAUGAAGAAAAGGUAUUGACCCAGGUGGAAAAAAAAGGCUUUUAAUUUCAAGCUAUGCUUAAGUCCCAAAGUACUUCUAUCAGAGCCACUUACAUUAUCCAAGGGACUUUUAACUACAAUGACAGGAAUUUAGAGUAAGUGAAAUAAUACAAUUAAAUAGAAAAAUCAGGAUUAGAUUACAAUGUGAUUGAGAAUGGUUAAAAAUUAGUGGGAAAGGUACAAAAUUAUACAUAUUUUUGUACUGCUCUGUCUUGAUCUGAUUGUUAAAAAAUUAACAUAGUUGAAAACUGUAUUCUUAUUUAAAUAUACAACAGAGCCAAAGGUUUUGUUAUGUUCUCUGGAGGCACAUAUUUGGGAUGCCUGUCCUGUCUUCUAUAACCUUCAUCAUAGACAAAGAACAGAGGAGGGAAGAAUACACAACUUCUUGAGUGUUAGCCACUUAAAGUAGAUGCUUAUAAUUUUGCAACUGAGGGAACAGAAUCAAAAAUAGAAAAGGAAUAGAGCCAUGAGUCCCAAACUGUGCCCAGGACACCACAGCAAGCUCCGAAGGGCGCUGCAACACAUGUUAAACGUUGAGGAGUGCAUGGUAAUGCUUGACAUCUGUUGGACACCAAGUGAAUGAACUACUAGGUCAAGGCAGCUCCUAGUUUCAACAUUAGAUUGUUCUCCAUUCCUUUCAGAGAUGUCUUAUCUUUGAGAAGUGGGGUUUUCAGCUGUUGUUAUAAAAUGCAAGUACCAAUUGAAAAAUUAGCAUGGACCAAAAGGUUACAGGUGGUUACACAGAUUCCAAUAUUUGAGAAAAUGUUCAGUGCCCAGUUGGCAUACACAUCCUGUUAUAAGCAACUGUGGUUAAGAAUAAAAUAAAAAAAUUUUUUCUUUCAUUUUAUUAUAUAUAUUGUUUUUUUCAAACAGCUAAGUUGUUAGGGCCUAACUGCUGCAUAAAUGAUAUUUCUGUUAGGCAUUUCAUUUGGCCUAGGGGCUCUGUGAGAAAAUUACUGAGACAUGACGCUGCUGUGAAUUGAGAAAGUUUGGAAACCUCUGGAUUAGAGCAAUAUAAACUAUCGAUGGGCACAGGUGGAUUUUAAUGGCUUAGACUCACCGGUAAGAAGAAAAAAGUGAUUCUCUCCUCCUUUCCCCAUUCAGCCAGGGCACUGCUCCCAGUAUUUUACUCUGUUCCCAUAUGGAAUGAGCAUUCCUAGUCUGCUUGUUUUUUUUAAUUAAUGCAACUAUUUGGUAGACUAUGAAAAGUUAUCUCGAACAAUGCUUCUCAACUCAUCUUCAGUGAAGGACAUUAAAAAAAAUCCCCAAUCUGUCAUGGACUAUGUGAUGAAUAAUUUUAUGUGUCAAUGUGUGUGUUACAGGCCAUUGUGUGGGCUCUGACUCCUGGCGACCCUAUGCAUGAGCACUGGCCACAACGCCUGUCUUCAGCAGCCCUGUUCAGUUCCUGUGGACUGCUGCCUAUGGCCUCUCUUACGGGGUUAAUCCAUCGCAUAGUUGGCCUUCUUUUCUUGCUGCCUUCUGUUUUUCUCAGCGUUAUUGUCUUUUCAAAGAACCCGGCCCUCUCAUGACGCACUCGAAAUAGGACAACUUCUGUAUUGUCAUUUUUUCCUCCAGCAAUGUUUCAGGCUUCAUUUGUUCUAGGACCCCCUUGUGGUCUUUCUGGUGGUCCAAGGUAUCCAUAGAGCUCUCCUCCGACACCAUAACUCAAAUGAAUCAAUUUUUUCUCUAUCAGCUGUCUUCACGCUCCAACUUUUGCAUCUGUACAUAGUGAUUGGGAAUAUGAGAGUGUGGAUAAUCUUAGCCUUGGUGUCCAGUGACAUAUCUUUGCUCUUGGUGACCUUUCCUAAUUCUUCCAUUGCUGCCUUUCCAAGAUUCAGCUGCCUCUUUUUAAAAAAAUAUGUUUUGAUUGAU